RNAcentral lists this ribosomal RNA (167 nucleotides) under uncultured bacterium. RNAcentral's name for it is "partial 16S rRNA". It matches the Rfam family "Bacterial small subunit ribosomal RNA", at positions 352 to 511 of the family's 1533-position model. The record is from RNAcentral.
CAGUAGGGAAUCUUCCACAAUGGACGCAAGUCUGAUGGAGCAACGCCGCGUGAGUGAAGAAGGUCUUCGGAUCGUAAAACUCUGUUGUUAGAGAAGAACACGAGUGAGAGUAACUGUUCAUUCGAUGACGGUAUCUAACCAGCAAGUCACGGCUAACUACGUGCCAG